CGUGAUGAUUGUAAGUUAUGGGCUAAUGGCGGUUCGUUGUCAAAAGUUUAGCUGUAGCUAUUUUCUUCGUAAAUUACCAAUAAAUUUGAGAAAACGUGAAAGAGGCUUGCAGGUUGCAGGCUACUGUCAACUUUUUUUUGCCAAAAUCAUUGUAUGCCUGCUGAAUAUGUCAUCCAAAUGAUACAGCAUACAAGAUUCAACACAAUUAUCGGCUGAUUUUCAUUGGGCUCGCUAGAUCACCAUAACCCCAGUUUGGAGUUUGGACCAAUGUUGGCCUUAGCAACAUCUUUUUCAACCAACUUC
Daphnia pulex (common water flea) is the source of this 303-nucleotide long non-coding RNA. RefSeq lists it as uncharacterized. The record is from RefSeq and is a predicted model, not a curated record. Lineage: Eukaryota; Metazoa; Arthropoda; Branchiopoda; Diplostraca; Daphniidae. The transcript is spliced from 3 exons.